UCUGCAUUUGCACCUGCACCUUAGUGAACGAAUUUGUUAGCGUAUAAUUCAUGCAGAAAGGUGUUGGUGCUCAUGCAGACA
This is a non-coding RNA of Solanum tuberosum (potato), 81 nucleotides long. Lineage: Eukaryota; Viridiplantae; Streptophyta; Magnoliopsida; Solanales; Solanaceae. The record is from RefSeq and is marked provisional.